This 90-nucleotide small nucleolar RNA is filed under the name Catagonus wagneri (Chacoan peccary). RNAcentral's name for it is "Small nucleolar RNA U3 (ENSCWAG00000006774.1)". It matches the Rfam family "Small nucleolar RNA U3", at positions 1 to 99 of the family's 219-position model. From Rfam's summary of the family: Small nucleolar RNAs (snoRNAs) are involved in the processing and modification of rRNA in the nucleolus. There are two main classes of snoRNAs: the box C/D class, and the box H/ACA class. U3 snoRNA is a member of the box C/D class. Lineage: Eukaryota; Metazoa; Chordata; Mammalia; Artiodactyla; Tayassuidae. The record is from RNAcentral.
AAGACUAUACUUUCAGGGAUCAUUUCUAUAGUUUGUGAAAUUAGCUGUCUUAGUUUACAGAUAAGUAAUAUAGAAAUAAGUUGAAUUAUU